This 460-nucleotide ribosomal RNA is filed under the name uncultured bacterium. RNAcentral describes it as "partial 16S ribosomal RNA". It matches the Rfam family "Bacterial small subunit ribosomal RNA", at positions 338 to 795 of the family's 1533-position model. The record is from RNAcentral.
CCUACGGGGUGCAGCAGUGAGGAAUAUUGGUCAAUGGGCUUACGCCUGAACCAGCCAAGUCGCGUGAGGGAAGACUGCCCUAUGGGUUGUAAACCUCUUUUGUCAGGGAGCAACGCCGGCUACGUGUAGCCGGACUGAGAGUACCUGAAGAAAAAGCAUCGGCUAACUCCGUGCCAGCAGCCGCGGUAAUACGGAGGAUGCGAGCGUUAUCCGGAUUGAUUGGGUUAAAAGGGUGCGUAGGCGGAAUGCCAAGUCAGCGGUAAAAUCGCGGGGCUCAACCGCGCUACGCCGUUGAAACUGGCGUUCUUGAGAGGGCGAGAAGUAUGCGGAAUGCGUGGUGUAGCGGUGAAAUGCAUAGAUAUCACGCAGAACUCCGAUUGCGAAGGCAGCAUACCGGCGCCCAACUGACGCUGAAGCACGAAAGCGUGGGUAUCGAACAGGAUUAGAUACCCUAGUAGUC